This 456-nucleotide ribosomal RNA is filed under the name Triticum aestivum (bread wheat). Its description in RNAcentral is "partial small subunit ribosomal RNA". Lineage: Eukaryota; Viridiplantae; Streptophyta; Magnoliopsida; Poales; Poaceae. The record is from RNAcentral.
AUGUCGAUCGUGCGGUGGAGCAACGUGUUCGACCCCUUCGCCGACCUCUGGGCGGACCCCUUCGACACCUUCCGCUCCAUCGUCCCGGCGAUCUCUGGCGGCAGCAGCGAGACGGCCGCGUUCGCCAAUGCUCGCGUGGACUGGAAGGAGACCCCCGAGGCGCACGUCUUCAAGGCCGACCUCCCCGGCGUGAAGAAGGAGGAGGUCAAGGUGGAGGUGGAGGACGGCAACGUGCUCGUCGUCAGCGGCGAGCGCACCAAGGAGAAGGAGGACAAGAACGACAAGUGGCACCGUGUGGAGCGCAGCAGCGGCAAGUUCGUGAGGCGGUUCCGCCUGCCGGAGGACGCCAAGGUGGAGGAGGUGAAGGCCGGGCUGGAGAACGGCGUGCUCACCGUCACCGUGCCCAAGGCCGAGGUCAAGAAGCCCGAGGUGAAAGCCAUCGAGAUCUCCGGCUGA